AUGACAGGGCUGCAUAGCAUGAACAGUGAGGAGCAGUUGACAAAAUUCUUUCAGAUAUGGGGCAAGGUACAGGUGGCCACACUGGUGCCGAGGAAGGACAAAAUUGUAUGGAACCUGACGGCAAACGGAGUAUAUUCGUGUACAUCUGCCUACGAGGCACAAUUCUUUGCUCGGAUUCCUAAACCAGAGCUAUCACGAGUAUGGAGAGGCAUGGUGGAGGGGAAAGUGAAAUCCUACCUAUGGCUGCUGUUGCAAGACCGGAAUUGGACGGCUGACAGAUUGCAGGCGCGGGGGUGGCCGCACAACGCGCGUUGCAGCCUAUGUGAUCAGGAGUUGGAAACAGCGAAUCAUCUUUCCUUGCACUGCUCCUUUGCCAAGGUGAUCUGGGACUUGUUCCGGAGAUCAACAGAUGAUCUAUGCGGUACGGCGGCCACGGCGACGUCCAUAUCUGAAUGGUGGGAGCACACCGGACGUGGCCGAGGUUCGAAGGACCGAAACAAAGAGGAAAUGACGUUGGCAGCUUACAUUGUGUGGAACUUAUGGAAGGAGAGGAACAGAAGGGUCUUCGAGCACAAAGAAAUGGGUCCGCUAGAGUUGGCCGCGUCCAUUACUGAUGAGGUAAACAUGGUCAAGUUAGCCAUGAGAAGGGGACAGCCCUCAGAGAGACACUAG
Molecule: ribosomal RNA, 672 nt
Filed under: Triticum aestivum (bread wheat)
Lineage: Eukaryota; Viridiplantae; Streptophyta; Magnoliopsida; Poales; Poaceae
Description: partial small subunit ribosomal RNA
Source: RNAcentral